AUGGUGUCACAGACCCAGGUCCUCAUGUCCUUGUUGCUCUACAUCUCUGGUGCCUGUGGAGACAUCCUGAUGACUCAGUCCCCAGGCUUCCUGGCUGCAUCAGUUGGAGAGAGUGUCACCAUCAACAGAGUCUUUUAUUGAACUACAACCCGAAGAACUACUUGGCCUGGUUCCAGCACAAACCAGGACAGCUUCCUAAACUUCUCAUCUACUGGGCAUCCACCUGGGAAUCUGGAGUUCCUGACUAUGUCAGUGGCAGUGGGUCUGGGACAGAUUUCACUUUCAAUAUCAGCAGCCUCCAGGCUGAAGAUGUGGCACAUUAUUACUGUCAUCAGUGUUAUGAGGAUCCUCCCACAGUGCUUCAGCUUCAAACACAAUCCUCUUCUAGAGAUUCACAGCUAUUUGCACAUCACCCAACAAGCUGUGUGCUUGUCUGUGGCAAGACAGAAGCAUCAUGGUGGAAGAGUGUGGCAGAAGAAAGCAGCUCAGCUCAUGGCUGCUGGAAAGCAGAGAGAGAAAGACAGGAAGUGCCAGAGAUGGCUCAACCCUUCAAAGAUCCCCUUACACGAACUCCACUGGCUGCAUUUGAGCCAGAGAGUGAUGAAUGUCAGCACAGCCAUCAGUAUGUUAAGAUCCCAGAACUGGGAGACACAGCACACCUGGAUAUGACUAUAGAAGAAAGUUAA
This is a non-coding RNA of Castor canadensis (American beaver), 686 nucleotides long. Lineage: Eukaryota; Metazoa; Chordata; Mammalia; Rodentia; Castoridae. The record is from the annotation of a RefSeq genome assembly.